RNAcentral lists this long non-coding RNA (528 nucleotides) under Mytilus galloprovincialis (Mediterranean mussel). The record is from RNAcentral. Lineage: Eukaryota; Metazoa; Mollusca; Bivalvia; Mytilida; Mytilidae.
AUUGCAUGAUUGUCUAUCAUGUCAUUUGGGAAACUAAAAAAAACGUCAAAUUUUUAUGCCCCACCUACAAUAGUAGAGGGGCAUUAUGUUUUCUGGUCUGUGCCUUCGUUCGUUCGUCCGUUCAGCUGUGCAUCUGUUCGUCUGUGCGUCCGUUCAGGUUAAAGUUUUGGUCAAGGUGGUUUUUGAUGAAGUUGAAGUCACAUCAACUUGAAACUUAGCACACAUGUUCCCUAUGAUAUGAUCUUUCUAAUUUUAAUUUCAAAUUAAAGUUUUGACCCCAAUUUCACAGUCCACUGAACAUGGAAAAUUAUAGUGCGAGUGGGGCAUCCGUGUACUAUGGACACAUUCUUGUUAAUCACUACAAUGAAACAACAACUAUUUUGGAAAACUCCAUUUAAUGACUCAAUGCAACAGUUAAUCAGUGCCAUUUAAAGCUUUGUAGUGUUUGUCAGACAUUGUGGCUGAUUAAAUUUUUUCUUUAUUAUGUACAUUGAUUAUAAAUGACUCCAUAUUUCCACUUGUCCACAG